RNAcentral lists this long non-coding RNA (1492 nucleotides) under Equus caballus (horse). RNAcentral describes it as "lncRNA (ENSECAG00000044451.1)". Lineage: Eukaryota; Metazoa; Chordata; Mammalia; Perissodactyla; Equidae. The record is from RNAcentral.
GGGUGAUGAGGAUGGGUGGGCCUCAGGAUGUCAUGUGCUAUAAAGAACAUCAAGAGGAGGCUGGAGAGUUAGGAAACAUUUGUUUGGAGUCCCUGGUACUCAGAUACAAGGAGGGGGCCAUUUACAAACCAGGAAGAGGGUCCUCACCAGAUCACUGCCCAGCACCUUGAUCUUGGGCUUCCCAGCCUCCAGAACUCUGAGAAAUCAAUAUUUGUUGUCUAAGCCACCUGGCUAUGGUAAUUUGUUACAGCAGCCUGAGCUGAGCAAGGCAAUCAUCUUACCUAGAUGACUUGAGAGAUCCCUUCCAUUCCAUCUGAAGUUGUAUCAACAAGCUAAAAUGAGUGAUCUGUACAGUAGCAUUAGUCCAACUCUGUCACAUCGCUGCAACAGCCAGCAGAAAGAUUGAGUGGGUUUUGCUGCAACCUGUCACAAACAGUAUCAGUACUGUAGCCAUCACUCUGACUAACAAACCUUCGGGUGUACUUUGUGGGAGAGAAUCCAGGCUGGGAUUGCUCUGACAACAUAGCACGGGAUUAUUUUAACAGUAUUGAAUUACUCACAUCUCCUUGGACCUGGGUUUGAAGUUUCGGCAGCAGUUUCCUCUUGAAGGCUCUUUCAGGGUUCCCUUCUUUUCAUUCCUGACUCAAGCCUUCCGGCCGUAAAGGCAAAUUUUUAACUGACUCAGCUCAGAGUUGAGAAGACAAAUAAGAGGAAGAAGAAAGAAGAGGAGGAGGAGGAGGGGAAAAGUAGUAACCUUAUGGAGGAAAUAAUCGAAACCACCUGAGUGUGUCUCUGCUGACUGUGAAAUCCCAAACAGCUUUUCCCGGAGUCACUAUAGCCUUGCUCUGUGGGGUUUGAACUGCGGUUCGCUAACGACCUGCCUUGGAGACAGCCCCAUGACUACAGUUUGCUUACGUCAUCCAGGUUAUCCCUCAGGGUACUCACAUUCUUCCCUUGAUGCAAAUCUAAGACAGGCACAAGAGAUCAGAAUCGCUGUAACACCAAAACUGCUUUUCUGCCUGGCUUCAACGGAAUGGAGCUGACCAGCAACUCUCACCACAUAAUGCAACAGGAGCUCCCCAGAUUGCCAGAGUCUGCGCUAGACCCUCAGUUCUUAUAGACAGUUGGGGCUGGGGUCCUGGUGUACGCAGAGUGAUGAGGUGGUAAAAAAGCAUGGAUGUUUGCCGUCAGGCUUGAUUUGAAUCCUGGGUCAGCCACUUACUUACCUGUUCUAAACCUGUAUCCCCUUAUCACAAAAUGGGCAGAGUACCUGUCUUACAAGUGUUUCUUAAGAGUUUAAAGAGAGAAUGCAUAUAAAGCUCAAUAGUAAUUGUCAGCAAAUGACAGCUAGAAAAACUAUCCAACUGAAAAUUGGAAAUACAAUUCCAGAGCUGAGGAGAGAAUGAGAGCUAAGAGCCAUGGGUUGGAAAGGCGGUAGUGUAUAAUUCUGUCCUAGAAUUCAUGACUUUCUUGAUGACUGGAAUGUCAGAAC